GACGAACGCUGGCGGCGUGCCUAAUACAUGCAAGUUGAGCGCUGAAGGUUGGUCCUUGUACCAACUGGAUGAGCAGCGAACGGGUGAGUAACGCGUGGGGAAUCUGCCUUUGAGCGGGGGGCAACAUUUGGAAACGAAUGCUAAUACCGCAUAAAAACUUUAAACACAAGUUUUAAGUUUGAAAGAUGCAAUUGCAUCACUCAAAGAUGAUCCCGCGUUGUAUUAGCUAGUUGGUGAGGUAAAGGCUCACCAAGGCGAUGAUACAUAGCCGACCUGAGAGGGUGAUCGGCCACAUUGGGACUGAGACACGGCCCAAACUCCUACGGGAGGCAGCAGUAGGGAAUCUUCGGCAAUGGACGAAAGUCUGACCGAGCAACGCCGCGUGAGUGAAGAAGGUUUUCGGAUCGUAAAACUCUGUUGGUAGAGAAGAACGUUGGUGAGAGUGGAAAGCUCAUCAAGUGACGGUAACUACCCAGAAAGGGACGGCUAACUACGUG
RNAcentral lists this ribosomal RNA (497 nucleotides) under uncultured bacterium. RNAcentral's name for it is "partial 16S ribosomal RNA". It matches the Rfam family "Bacterial small subunit ribosomal RNA", at positions 28 to 507 of the family's 1533-position model. The record is from RNAcentral.